CAGUGGACUGAUCCCAUGGUUAUUUCCUUGAAGUGAUUCUUAGGAGUCCUGGUUAAUGACUGAUCUUCCAGCAUUUUCCAGAGUUUUGAGAAACAAGCCAACUGUAAACUGCUGCUGGUUAGACUACAUCCGGACUACUGAGUUCAGUUCUUUUGCUUGUUUUAAGAGAGUCACUGACUAAGAAGAGGUACUCUCCAGCACCAGCUACAUGACUUGGGGGGGCUAGUAGCUAAAGGAAACUGUGGAUCAGCCGAUGGAAGUUAAGACGGUAACAGCAGAGUAUUAAAGGAGGCAUGAGACCCUUCGUCGGAGCCCUGCGUGAUUGCAACGGCCGCACUGCCAUGAACCAGCCUGCAAGUCAGCCUUUCCUUCCGCUUGCCUCGGAGCCAAGCUCAGUACAUCUCCCAGGUCACGAAUCCAGCUCCUCUUCGUUAUUCAAGCUUACUCUUCCCAAAUUAAUUAAUUAAUUCGAUGCAUUACCAGUCAAAAGUAACUGUUUUCAAAGAAAUAAGCACACCAAUAUUAAACUUUAUAUGGACGAUCUAAAGGGUAAAAAAAAUACCUGAAAGAAUUUUGAAAUGUUUGGAACAGAAGAUGAAAAUGAAGAUUCCAAAACUAAAGAUUUAAAAGUAAAAUUUUAGAAGAAAAUGUAUGAUACUAUAUUCAUC
Long non-coding RNA from Suricata suricatta (meerkat), 668 nucleotides. RefSeq lists it as uncharacterized. The transcript has 3 exons. Lineage: Eukaryota; Metazoa; Chordata; Mammalia; Carnivora; Herpestidae. The record is from RefSeq and is a predicted model, not a curated record.